Molecule: transfer RNA, 82 nt
Filed under: Nicotiana sylvestris (wood tobacco)
Lineage: Eukaryota; Viridiplantae; Streptophyta; Magnoliopsida; Solanales; Solanaceae
Rfam family: tRNA
About the family: Transfer RNA (tRNA) molecules are approximately 80 nucleotides in length.
Source: Rfam by way of RNAcentral
AGGGAUAUAACUCAGCGGUAGAGUGUCACCUUGACGUGGUGGAAGUCAUCANUAGUCAUCAGUUCAAGCCUGAUUAUCCCUA